CCUACGGGAGGCUGCAGUGGGGAAUAUUUCACCAUGGGGGAAACCCUGAUGCAGCGACGCCGCGUGAGUGAAGAAGUAUUUCGGUAUGUAAAGCUCUAUCAGCAGGGAAGAAAAUGACUGUACCUGAUUAAGAAGCCCCGGCUAACUACGUGCCAGCAGCCGCGGUAAUACGUAGGGGGCAAGCGUUAUCCGGAUUUACUGGGUGGAAAGGGAGCGUAGACGGCGGCAAAAGGCUGGAGUGAAAUGCCGGGGCUUAACCCCGGAACUGCUUUGGAAACUGUGCAGCUAGAGUGCAGGAGAGGUAAGUGGAAUUCCUAGUGUAGCGGUGAAAUGCGUAGAUAUUAGGAGGAACACCAGUGGCGAAGGCGGCUUACUGGACUGUAACUGACGUUGAGGCUCGAAAGCGUGGGGAGCAAACAGGAUUAGAUACCCUUGUAGUC
Molecule: ribosomal RNA, 440 nt
Filed under: uncultured bacterium
Lineage: Bacteria
Description: partial 16S ribosomal RNA
Rfam family: Bacterial small subunit ribosomal RNA
Source: RNAcentral